GCUUAUAACUAUUCGAUUGCUUGGAGUGUCAUGUGUUUAUUGUGAUGUCUUCAUAAGUUGUGUGUUACAUGAAAGUUUUAGUAUGAUUGAUGCUAGCCUUGCUAGGUUCUUCUCUGUAUUUGUGUGGCCUAGCUCAGAUUUAUCUAUCUAUACCUAAAAUUGCAGACAGAUGUGGCUGAUGUGGCUUCAACUGCAAUGAGUAGGCCAAUGCUUGGAAGAAGCCACUGGAUUGGCUUUUAGGUUUGUGAUAGAUCAAAGAUGUCUGCACUUCAGAAGGAAGUGGCACAAUAUGAUGAUUUCAUUUUUCUGGAUAUUGAAGAGAAGUACAGUAAGCUCCCAUAAAAAACGUUGGCGUUCUUCAAAGCUGCUUAUGCACUUUUUGAAGCUGACUUUUGUGUCAAAGCUGAUGAUGACAUAUAUUUAAGGCCAGGUCUUUGUAAUCCAGAAAAGAGAAUGUUGGAACUCCAUCAAACGGAAAGUUGUACUCAGAGUCCAACUGUGGACUCUGGUGAAUAGUAUUUGUCCGUAUAUUUAUGAAGCGAAGGUGAAUUGCCUGCUCUUGUUAUGUUUUACUGCCGUGAGCAGCUACCAUUGCAAUCCUUUUCUAUCCAUUGAUCUUUCUCUUUUUGAUUCAUAUUUCUUCAUGUCUGAAGACACUUUGAUGUAUUUUCUUUUCUUUUUCUCUUUUUUAUUUCUAGUCAAA
Glycine soja is the source of this 703-nucleotide long non-coding RNA. RefSeq lists it as uncharacterized. Lineage: Eukaryota; Viridiplantae; Streptophyta; Magnoliopsida; Fabales; Fabaceae. The transcript is spliced from 4 exons. The record is from RefSeq and is a predicted model, not a curated record.